This is a long non-coding RNA of Syzygium oleosum, 479 nucleotides long. RefSeq lists it as uncharacterized. Lineage: Eukaryota; Viridiplantae; Streptophyta; Magnoliopsida; Myrtales; Myrtaceae. The transcript has 2 exons. The record is from RefSeq and is a predicted model, not a curated record.
ACGGUCAGCACGGACUUAGAGAAGCGGCUCGACGAGGUUUCGUUGCCGUUCCUAGUCCGGCACAGAGGAGAGGACAGAGUGACAGACAAGGCGGUCAGCCAGCUCCUGUACGAGGUGGCUUCAAGCGAGGACAAGACGUUCAAGUUGUACUCCGGGAUGUGGCACGGCCUCCUCUACGAGGAGCUGCCCAGCAACAUCGACAUCAUGUUCGCCGACAUCAUCGGAUGGAUCGACGAGCGGACCGCUCUUGGAAGCUCGAGUAUAGAGAGAGCAGAAAAGUGCAGAGGACGACGGCACCGUGAAGGCCAAAUAAUGGGGGAAGGGAGAGGAGAAUUAUUUGAUUAUACAUGAAGAGAGAACAGAGAGUUCUUUGCUCAUCCUUGUCCUCCAUGAUUGGGUUCAAGCGAUAGUGAUAUUUGAGCGAUCAUAGUGUGUAGUUUGCUUUCCGAAUUGUAUUUACUUUAUGUUUUAUACGUAAA